UGAGGGUCCAUUAAAGAGAGCAAUCUUGGUUACAGACGAGCAUGCGCUCCAUUAGCCAGUUGGCGGGGUAACGGCCACCCAAAGCGACGAUGGAUAGGGGUUCUGAGAGGAAGGUCCCCCACAUUGGAACUGAGACACGGUCCAAACUCCUACGGGAGGCAGCAGUGAGGAAUAUUGGUCAAUGGUCGGCAGACUGAACCAGCCAAGUCGCGUGAGGGAAGACGGCCCUACGGGUUGUAAACCUCUUUUGUCGGAGAGUAAAGUACGCUACGUGUAGCGUAUUGCAAGUAUCCGAAGAAAAAGCAUCGGCUAACUCCGUGCCAGCAGCCGCGGUAAUACGGAGGAUGCGAGCGUUAUCCGGAUUUAUUGGGUUUAAAGGGUGCGUAGGCGGCACGCCAAGUCAGCGGUGAAAUUUUCGGGCUCAACCCGGACUGUGCUGUUGAAACUGGCGAGCUAGAGUGCACAAGAGGCAGGCGGAAUGCGUGGUGUAGCGGUGAAAUGCAUAGAUAUCACGCAGAACCCCGAUUGCGAAGGCAGCCUGCUAGGGUGCGACAGACGCUGAGGCACGAAAGCGUGGGUAUCGAACAGGAUUAGAUACCCUGGUAGUCCACGCAGUAAACGAUGAAUACUAACUGUUUGCGAUACAAUGUAAGCGGUACAGCGAAAGCGUUAAGUAUUCCACCUGGGGAGCUACGCCGGCAA
Molecule: ribosomal RNA, 702 nt
Filed under: uncultured bacterium
Lineage: Bacteria
Description: bacterial SSU rRNA
Rfam family: Bacterial small subunit ribosomal RNA
Source: RNAcentral